Molecule: ribosomal RNA, 583 nt
Filed under: uncultured bacterium
Lineage: Bacteria
Description: bacterial SSU rRNA
Rfam family: Bacterial small subunit ribosomal RNA
Source: RNAcentral
ACGGGUGACGAAUACUUCACAAUCCGCCUUAUUGUGGGGGAUAACGUAGGGAAACUUACACUAAUACCGCAUAAGACCGAAUGGUGAAAGUGGGGGACCCCAAGGCCUCCCGCGAUAAGAUGAGCCGAUGUCCUAUUACCUAGUUGGUGAGGUAAUGGCUCACCAAGGCGACAAUCCGUACCUGGUCUGAAAGGAUGAUCCCCCCCCCUGGAACUGAGACACGGUCCAAACUCCUACGGGAGGCCCCAGUGGGGAAUAUUGGACAAUGGGCCCAAGCCUGAUCCAGCCAUGCCGCGUGGGUGAAUAAGGCCUUCGGGUUGUAAAGCCCUUUUGUUGGGGAAGAAAUCGUACGGGGUAAUAUCCCGUGCGGAUGACGGUACCCAAAGAAUAAGCACCGUCUAACUUCGUGCCAGCAGCCGCGGUAAUAUUAAGGUUGCAAGCGUCAUUCUCAAUUUCUGGUGGUAAAGCGUGCUAAGGCGGUUUCAUAACACUGUCGUGAAAGCCCUGGGCUCCUUAUGUGUUUGCUAUGGAUACUGUCGAGCUAGAGUACUGUAGAAGAUGGCAGAAUUUCCCCGUUGUCCGU